RNAcentral lists this ribosomal RNA (663 nucleotides) under bacterium SCSIO13014. Its description in RNAcentral is "bacterial SSU rRNA". It matches the Rfam family "Bacterial small subunit ribosomal RNA", at positions 57 to 700 of the family's 1533-position model. The record is from RNAcentral.
GCAGUCGAGCGGCAGCGACUUAACUGAACCUUCGGGGAACGUUAAGGGCGGCGAGCGGCGGACGGGUGAGUAAUGCCUGGGAAUAUGCCCUGAUGUGGGGGAUAACUAUUGGAAACGAUAGCUAAUACCGCAUAAUCUCUUCGGAGCAAAGAGGGGGACCUUCGGGCCUCUCGCGUCAGGAUUAGCCCAGGUGGGAUUAGCUUGUUGGUGAGGUAAUGGCUCACCAAGGCAACGAUCCCUAGCUGGUCUGAGAGGAUGAUCAGCCACACUGGAACUGAGACACGGUCCAGACUCCUACGGGAGGCAGCAGUGGGGAAUAUUGCACAAUGGGGGAAACCCUGAUGCAGCCAUGCCGCGUGUAUGAAGAAGGCCUUCGGGUUGUAAAGUACUUUCAGUAGGGAGGAAGGCAGUGUCGUUAAUAGCGGCAUUGUUUGACGUUACCUACAGAAGAAGCACCGGCUAACUCCGUGCCAGCAGCCGCGGUAAUACGGAGGGUGCGAGCGUUAAUCGGAAUUACUGGGCGUAAAGCGCAUGCAGGCGGUCUGUUAAGCAAGAUGUGAAAGCCCGGGGCUCAACCUCGGAACAGCAUUUUGAACUGGCAGACUAGAGUCUUGUAGAGGGGGGUAGAAUUUCAGGUGUAGCGGUGAAAUGCGUAGAGAUCUG